Molecule: non-coding RNA, 181 nt
Filed under: Kurthia sp. 11kri321
Lineage: Bacteria; Bacillati; Bacillota; Bacilli; Caryophanales; Caryophanaceae
Also listed under: 1 other name
Description: Lysine riboswitch aptamer
Rfam family: Lysine riboswitch aptamer
About the family: Riboswitches are metabolite binding domains within certain messenger RNAs that serve as precision sensors for their corresponding targets. Allosteric rearrangement of mRNA structure is mediated by ligand binding, and this results in modulation of gene expression. This family includes riboswitches that sense lysine in a number of genes involved in lysine metabolism, including lysC.
Source: Rfam by way of RNAcentral
CGAUGAGGUAGAGGUCGCAAAAAAUAAAAGUAAUAUAGUCGAGAUGUAAAAGCAUUGGUGACAUUAUAUGAAAGGAUUUUUUGCCGAAGUGGUGGAUUGCUUUUACAAUCAACUGCUGGGGCUGUCGCUUAAUAGGUGCAGAACUGUCACAUCUGUGAGGGUGUGUUGAGCUAUCUUUUUC